Molecule: ribosomal RNA, 492 nt
Filed under: uncultured bacterium
Lineage: Bacteria
Description: partial 16S ribosomal RNA
Rfam family: Bacterial small subunit ribosomal RNA
Source: RNAcentral
AGUGAACGCUGGCGGUAGGCCUAACACAUGCAAGUCGAACGGCAGCACAGUAAGAGCUUGCUCUUACGGGUGGCGAGUGGCGGACGGGUGAGGAAUACAUCGGAAUCUACUUUUUCGUGGGGGAUAACGUAGGGAAACUUACGCUAAUACCGCAUACGACCUACGGGUGAAAGCAGGGGAUCUUCGGACCUUGCGCGAUUGAAUGAGCCGAUGUCGGAUUAGCUAGUUGGCGGGGUAAAGGCCCACCAAGGCGACGAUCCGUAGCUGGUCUGAGAGGAUGAUCAGCCACACUGGAACUGAGACACGGUCCAGACUCCUACGGGAGGCAGCAGUGGGGAAUAUUGGACAAUGGGCGCAAGCCUGAUCCAGCCAUACCGCGUGGGUGCAGAAGGCCUGCGGGUUGUAAAGCCCUUUUGUUGGGAAAGAAAAGCAGCAGGUUAAUACCCCGCUGUUCUGACGGUACCCAAAGAAUAAGCACCGGCUAACUUCGUG